GAUGAAGAACGCAGCGAAAUGCGAUAAGUAAUGUGAAUUGCAGAAUUCAGUGAAUCAUCGAAUCUUUGAACGCACCUUGCGCCCUUUGGCCAUUCCGAAGGGCAUGCCUGUUUGAGUAUCAUGAACACCUCAACUCUUCAUGGUUUUCCGUGAUGAGCUUGGACUUUGGGGGUCUUGCUGGCCUAUGGUCAGCUCCUCUAAAAUAAAUCAGCUUGCCAGUGUUUGGUGGGUAUCACAGGUGUGAUAACUAUCUACGCUUGUGGUUUUCCACCAGGUAACCUUCAGCAGUGGAGGUUCGCUGGAGCUCACAGAUGUGUCUCUCCUCAGUGAGGACAGCUCUUUGAAUGUAUGAUCUCAAAUCAGGUAGGACUACCCGCUGAACUUAAGCAUAUCAAUAAGCGGAGGA
This 406-nucleotide unclassified non-coding RNA is filed under the name soil metagenome. RNAcentral describes it as "partial contains 5.8S ribosomal RNA, internal transcribed spacer 2, and large subunit ribosomal RNA". The stretch from base 1 to 121 matches the Rfam family "5.8S ribosomal RNA", at positions 35 to 154 of the family's 154-position model. The record is from RNAcentral.